RNAcentral lists this ribosomal RNA (52 nucleotides) under Mosla dadoensis. RNAcentral's name for it is "partial 18S small subunit ribosomal RNA". The record is from RNAcentral. Lineage: Eukaryota; Viridiplantae; Streptophyta; Magnoliopsida; Lamiales; Lamiaceae.
UACCUGAUUGAUCCUGCCAUGAUCCAAUGCCUUGUCUCAUGCCUUGUCUCAA